This 76-nucleotide transfer RNA is filed under the name Limnobacter litoralis. Its description in RNAcentral is "tRNA-His". It matches the Rfam family "tRNA". From Rfam's summary of the family: Transfer RNA (tRNA) molecules are approximately 80 nucleotides in length. Their secondary structure includes four short double-helical elements and three loops (D, anti-codon, and T loops). RNAcentral also lists the same sequence under 4 other names. The record is from RNAcentral. Lineage: Bacteria; Pseudomonadati; Pseudomonadota; Betaproteobacteria; Burkholderiales; Burkholderiaceae.
GCGGGGUUAGCUCAGUUGGUAGAGCAACGGAUUGUGAUUCCGUGGGUCGUGGGUUCGAGCCCCAUACCUCGCCCCA